UAUCUAUCGGAUCGUUUUAGAAACAUCAGUGGCCAACAGAUCGCCAGAUCGUUGAGCUGCAUUGGCGGGAUUUCGCCGUCUUCGUUUCUCUUUCUUCGCGGACGAACACGCGCUGGGGCUGCACGCUUGCAGAAUCCCUGGUCCUUAACAGGAUAUGCGUUAGGGGCUUGUAGCUCAGUUGGUUAGAGCGCGCGCUUGAUAAGCGUGAGGUCGGAAGUUCAAGUCUUCCCAGGCCCACCACGCUUCGCCGUUGGCUUCGCGUGGCACCGCCACGCAAGACAAGUUGCGAAGCGUGUCCGGCAUAGCCCAGAGGGCGACGCCGGACUUCGAGAGGCGCUUCGUCUUCUGGUUACGGGGCCAUAGCUCAGCUGGGAGAGCGCGUGCUUUGCAAGCAUGAGGUCGUCGGUUCGAUCCCGUCUGGCUCCACCAGAUGGUUUGAUCACCGACGGCAUCGAUGCACCGUCGUCCGCGAAACAUCACUUCGCACUUACUAGUCUGGAUGGACGGUGAGGUUGCGUGAUUUCUGACAUCGUAAAGAGGAGAUCGAUCCGAGUUGGAUCGUGCGGCAAGCAAUUGUUGCGCGAUACUUCAUUAUCUCCGGAUCAUUUCGGCGCUUGCGUGCGUCUUUCGAAGGUAGCUCACAAGGCUGCGCUCGAGAGACGAUGCGAGUUGUAAAUGAUCCUUUUAGCGAAGCUUGACCGCCUCGCUAUCGGAACGAUCUUACGAAGCAAGCUGGUCUUUCUAAUCAUUGUCCGUCUGCAGAUAGCGUUCAUCGAGGGCGCGUGCCUUAGAGAUUUCAGUUCUGCAGACAACAUUCUGCCGAGUGUGUGGACAUUGAUAAUGAGAGCAAUCAAGUGCCUUAAGGGUGUUCGGUGGAUGCCUUGGCGCUGAGAGGCGAUGAAGGACGUGCUACGCUGCGAUAA
Molecule: unclassified non-coding RNA, 923 nt
Filed under: Bradyrhizobium japonicum
Lineage: Bacteria; Pseudomonadati; Pseudomonadota; Alphaproteobacteria; Hyphomicrobiales; Nitrobacteraceae
Description: partial 16S-23S ribosomal RNA intergenic spacer; may also contain 16S ribosomal RNA and 23S ribosomal RNA
Rfam family: tRNA (bases 164-237)
Source: RNAcentral